This 3045-nucleotide long non-coding RNA is filed under the name Zea mays. RNAcentral's name for it is "long non-coding RNA (ZMAY_LNC002695)". The record is from RNAcentral. Lineage: Eukaryota; Viridiplantae; Streptophyta; Magnoliopsida; Poales; Poaceae.
UUCUGUCUAUUCCUCUCAGUUCGCCGCCGCCUUCUCCUAGUGUAAGCCAAUACUUCUUAUUACAGUCUGUUACAAGGCCACUUGGGCCAAAAUAAACUCAGCCACUCACAGCUCGGGCCAUAUCGCUCUCUUACUCCUUCUGAGCCCGUCGAGACCUGCUUCUGGCUUCACAACCUUCUCCUUUCCCGCACUGGUAUCCUUCCCUUCUUCCGCGUCCUGGUUGCUGAUCACCGGGACACUGACAUUUUCCCUCCCUUGAGUUCCAGCUUGUCCCCAAGCUGGUGCAAAGGAAAAAUGUCGCUUGAUGUCCGCCUCCUCUUCCCAUGUAGCGUAGCCAUGGAUGUAGGCUAGCCCGUCCACUGAGAUGAUUGUUGGAUAGUUUGUCAACUACUACCAGCAUGCAGUUUUCCCAGCGCAAAUGAGACAAUCCUGAGAUAAAAUACAUAGAUACUACCAGCCACGUAUGGUCUUGAACCGGCAAUGGAAAACGUUCAGAGUAUUUCACCCGGUCUUCCCAAUUACGUAUCGUAGGAUCAAAGCUACCUUCACUUGGCCCGUCAGGAAAUGACAAGUUCGAAAAUUCGUGAAGACCUAUUGUAUAUGUAAACAAGUUAAACCCAAACGGAUGCCUGGUCUUCGCUUGUUGACAGUUAACACAAGAUCGAACAAAGUCACGCACAGAAGGCUUCAUUCCUGUCCAGCUCAACACUGCCUUGAUGCACCGGUAUGUAACCAGAAAGCCUGACUGCCCACACAUAGUGCUAUCGUGCAAAGUUUUCAUGGUCCGUUGCUGCAGUUCAUGGCUCGAAACCAGCCAAAUUUUGUUCUUGUGUCUGAUCACUCCAUGCACUAAGGUGAAGGGUUCCAACUGUCCACCGAUUGAGAAGAUAGCCAUUAUCUUUUGGGCCGAUGCAUCACUUUCAUACCCUUUUGUCACUUCCACCAACCAGCUGGGAAUUACUGAGGAACUGGAGACAACAUUCAAACACACAGAGCUGUCAUCUUGAUGUAGAUCAGGCCGUCGUGAUAGAAUAUCGGCAGCUCGGUUGUCCACCCAUGUUUUGUAUACGAUCCAAAAGUGGAGACCCUUCAACCACUGAUCAACAGCAAACAGAAUGGACGACAUACUUUCAUCUGACUCAUGCACUGUCUGACAUGGUCGAUCUGUAGAAAUUCCAGAAGCACUCACUUUAUGGCCCAAAAAGUCCAACAAACACUUAGGCAAUUUAAGAUGUUGUUGCUGUUGACAGAGUAAUUGAAAAACUGUCUCCAAGAGCUGCGCAUGAUAUUUCAGAUUAAAAUUAUAUACCAACACCUCAAGGACAGUAGUAACAGUCAAUACAGAGAUAGACUGAACAGCUAGGAGUUGUUCCACUGCAUCAGGACAAACUGUAGCUUCUAACUGCAAAAUAAACAAACAGAGCCCCAUGACUUUUCUAUAAGAUUUGGGAGCGGCCAUCCUUCCAUCCUCAUCCUUGGUACUGACUGUCCCUAGAGUUUGGUGUUCCUCAUUCAGUCCCGUGGCCUUGCCACCAGACAGAGGAGAUGGAGGUAAGGGCAUAAGUCCUGGCCUAGGUGAAACUUGGGCAGAUACUCCAGGAUCCCACAUUCUGUCCUCCAUUUGUCCCGUGUUCAACAUCACCUUCGCUUGUAACAUGGUCAGUGAGUUGUGUUGGUCACGACUAACACGGGUAUUCAGAGCCAACCACAACUUACUCCAACUCAUCUCCUUAGUCCUGGACUUCAUCAACUGAAGCCAGUAGAGGGCUGAUCCUUCCAAGUGCAUGACGGCAAACCGGAUCCACAUUUCACUCGAAAUAGUAUAUAACUCAAAGUCUGUUUCACAACGAUCUCUCCAUACUAUUGGUUUAGAAUCACCAAAUGCAGGAAAACUUCUAUGAGGCAUGUCAAUUCCCAAUCCUUGAGACUGUUUCAUCAGCGUAGAUUGACCCAAAGAAUCUAGAACAUAGGACCAGUAGGUAUGGUUGGCAGGGUUAGCAUUACCUGUAAGUCCAACGGUAGUAGCAGACCCACUCGUCACGGUAAUAGCGACACUUCUCGGUGAUACAGCAAGAGGCGCCAUCACAGGAGCUGCCUCCAUGGCCAUGAUAGCUUCGAAAUCGUACUGCAGCAACCCCAGCUUCGUGGUGUCUUUGUGUGCCACCUCCCUUGACCCAUUGUUGCUCGCCACGGUGGUGUUGUUCCUGCCAAACUGAUAAUGGUCAGCGCUGCCACCAGACCAAAACUGCCCAAGCCCCGGCGGUGGCUGCUGUUGCACGGGCACGAGAAGUUUGGAGUUGAAGAUGACCUCCCAAAUUCGGAUCUGCUCCGGCAUGGGGUUCCACCGCGACUUUGAAUCUAGGGUUCGCUCCCGCGUCGUCGAUCCAUCCGCAAUGAUUUCUGAGAGCAUCGAGUUGGUCGCAUCCGCCACACUCGUCGAAGCAGAAUACGAAUCUUCGAUCGUCUUCUGGGUCACCUUGUCCUCCUUCGCUCCGGUUCCUGGUCUCCACCUCUGGCAGUCGCUUGGAUCCGUCAGCAAACCCUUGACCGCGAUCUCCAUCCUCUCCAUAGCAGACUGCAUCGAGUCCAUACAACGAUGAAUCUCUCGAUUCCCUUCCUCAAUUUUCGCCAUCAGCUGCGCCAUUGGAUCUUCGAGGAUCGGCCACGCCAUGGUUCCAAUACUCGCCUGAAAUUGAUUAGAGACAGUGUGGAAGAACUAGCUCCGAAUACCAAAUGUUAGGAUCCCGGCACCCUCGACUCAAUUUUACUCCGGAACGAUCACCACGGAUCACCGGCCGCCAACAACCUUACAGUUCAGACUCGUGUUCUGUCUAUUCCUCUCAGUUCGCCGCCGCCUUCUCCUAGUGUAAGCCAAUACUUCUUAUUACAGUCUGUUACAAGGCCACUUGGGCCAAAAUAAACUCAGCCACUCACAGCUCGGGCCAUAUCGCUCUCUUACUCCUUCUGAGCCCGUCGAGACCUGCUUCUGGCUUCACAACCUUCUCCUUUCCCGCACUGGUAUCCUUCCCUUCUUCCGCGUCCUGG